CUGACAGCAAUAAAAACUGAAGUCCUCUUUUUGUCCACUGAACAGGUACAGUGUGAGCAGCAGCAGUGCAAGCUUCACCACACUGUCCCACCAAAGCACUGAGAACCCUGACCUAGAGAGAGACCUCUGUAGCAAGGGUUAAGAGACUUGUUCAGUCUCACUCAGCCUUUACCGUGGCUGCC
RNAcentral lists this small RNA (182 nucleotides) under Coturnix japonica (Japanese quail). RNAcentral's name for it is "TUC338 (ENSCJPG00005009650.1)". The record is from RNAcentral. Lineage: Eukaryota; Metazoa; Chordata; Aves; Galliformes; Phasianidae.